AAGCGGUGGAGCAUGUGGCUUAAUUCGAGGCUACGCGAAGAACCUUAUCCCGGGCUUGACAUGCUGCGGAACCCGGCGGAAACGUCGGGGUGCCUUCGGGAGCCGCAGCACAGGUGCUGCAUGGCUGUCGUCAGCUCGUGCCGUGAGGUGUUGGGUUAAGUCCCGUAACGAGCGAAACCCCUGUCCCUAGUUGCCAGCGCGUCACGGCGGGCACUCUAGGGAGACCGCCGGCGUCAAGCCGGAGGAAGGCGGGGACG
RNAcentral lists this ribosomal RNA (257 nucleotides) under uncultured Planctomycetota bacterium. Its description in RNAcentral is "uncultured planctomycete partial 16S ribosomal RNA". It matches the Rfam family "Bacterial small subunit ribosomal RNA", at positions 927 to 1181 of the family's 1533-position model. Lineage: Bacteria; Pseudomonadati; Planctomycetota. The record is from RNAcentral.